AUUACGGGUACGGGGAUUAGGGUUCGAUUCCGGAGAGGGAGCCUGAGAAACGGCUACCACAUCCAAGGAAGGCAGCAGGCGCGCAAAUUACCCAAUCCCAACACGGGGAGGUAGUGACAAUAAAUAACAAUAUGGGGCCUUUACGGGUCUCGUAAUUGGAAUGAGUACAAUUUAAAUCUCUUAACGAGGAACAAUUGGAGGGCAAGUCUGGUGCCAGCAGCCGCGGUAAUUCCAGCUCCAAUAGCGUAUAUUAAAGUUGUUGCAGUUAAAAAGCUCGUAGUUGAAUUUCGGGAUCUAUCCGUCGGUCGGGCCUCACGGUCCGCACUGGUGUGAUGGAUUCCUACCUUCUGAAUAACCGGUAUGCCAUUAAUUUGAUGUGCCGGGGAAGCAGAACCAUUACCUUGAAAAAAUUAGAGUGCUCAAAGCAGGCCUAUGCCUGAAUACAUUAGCAUGGAAUAAUAAAAUAGGACGGCAUGGUUCUAUUUUGUUGGUUUCUAGGAUCACCGUAAUGAUUAAUAGGGAUAGUUGGGGGCAUUAGUAUUCAAUUGUCAGAGGUGAAAUUCUUGGAUUUAUUGAAGACUAACUUCUGCGAAAGCAUUUGCCAAGGAUGUUUUCAUUAAUCAAGAACGAAAGUUAGGGGAUCGAAGACGAUCAGAUACCGUCGUAGUCUUAACCAUAAACUAUGCCGACUAGGGAUCGGACGAUGUUAAUUUUAUAAUGACUCGUUCGGCGCCUUACGGGAAACCAAA
Molecule: ribosomal RNA, 749 nt
Filed under: Acaulospora koskei
Lineage: Eukaryota; Fungi; Glomeromycota; Glomeromycetes; Diversisporales; Acaulosporaceae
Description: SSU rRNA
Rfam family: Eukaryotic small subunit ribosomal RNA
Source: RNAcentral